UCAUCAUCGUACUGUGUUUACAUUAUUUUAUUAUCGCGCUAUCUUUGCUUGUAUUUUCCUUUUGUUCUUGAUAUUUGUUUUCGCUUUAUAUUUGCGAUUGUAUGGGGAAAGUCGAGACAAAAGAUUUGAGAUAAUUGCCGUUAAUUCUUUGUUUGUAAACAUUCCGUUGUAUUAUAGUUAUCUCUAACACGAAACAAUUCGUUUAAAACAAGAAACUAACGAUAAUUGUCUCAAAUUUUAUUUUGAACUCGACUCACCCAGUAAUCCGAUACAUCUUGGUCUAUCCUAACAUCCCAGACAACAUAAUGUCUAAAAUCGGAACAUAAAACGUCUUAAAGAUAAUCUUUAAGACGCCUUAAAGACAUUUAUACGUAAAUCGUCUGAAAGACAUCUUACAGAUGAUCUUUAAGACGUCUUAUGUCCCGAUUUUAGAUAUUAUGUUGUCUGGAGUAUAUAUGUGUUUCUUCUAUAUAUUUAUAUUAAAAAUAAUAAAGAUUUAUUGAGAGAAGAAAGACUGAUAUGUAUUUAGUCGAUUAUUUUAUUUAUUUAUUUGUAUUUAUUUAGUCGGUUUCUCACGGCAAAUCAAAAUUUAUAAAUAUACGCAUAGCACAGUUUAGUCGUACGACAACAUUUCGUGCAGACUUACGUAAAAUAUAGUUCAGCAGAACUUCUCACCACGGUGAUAUUGUCGGUGAUGUUACCCUUCUUGGCCGAAUCCACGCAACUGUCUCCCCAAUCCUCCAGACACGUGGACCAUGGGAGCUGCGUCGCGAAGCUUCUCACGAAGUACAACAAACUGAUCGACAUCAACGCACAGUAAUAAGUACCUACGGCGGCCGUCGAGUAUGUUUGUGCCCAGCCGACACCACGCAAUGCCGUCUCUCUCUCUCAUUACCGGCGGACCAUAUUUUCACAGAGGAACUGCUGGUAAAUUGACCCAUUAUCAUUUCCAAAUAGUAAAACGGCUUCCCCACUACGAAGAGUACGAGGAUAUACGGAAUAAGAAAAGCACCACCACCGUUUUC
This is a long non-coding RNA of Odontomachus brunneus, 1025 nucleotides long. RefSeq lists it as uncharacterized. NCBI's taxonomy places the organism in Eukaryota, Metazoa, Arthropoda, Insecta, Hymenoptera, Formicidae. The record is from RefSeq and is a predicted model, not a curated record. The transcript has 3 exons.